This 67-nucleotide transfer RNA is filed under the name Rattus norvegicus (Norway rat). It matches the Rfam family "tRNA". From Rfam's summary of the family: Transfer RNA (tRNA) molecules are approximately 80 nucleotides in length. Their secondary structure includes four short double-helical elements and three loops (D, anti-codon, and T loops). Further hydrogen bonds mediate the characteristic L-shaped molecular structure. tRNAs have two regions of fundamental functional importance: the anti-codon, which is responsible for specific mRNA codon recognition, and the 3' end, to which the tRNAs corresponding amino acid is attached (by aminoacyl-tRNA synthetases). tRNAs cope with the degeneracy of the genetic code in two manners: having more than one tRNA (with a specific anti-codon) for a particular amino acid; and 'wobble' base-pairing, i.e. permitting non-standard base-pairing at the 3rd anti-codon position. The record is from Rfam by way of RNAcentral. Lineage: Eukaryota; Metazoa; Chordata; Mammalia; Rodentia; Muridae.
GGGAAUUUAGCUCAGUGGUAGAGCGUUUGCCUAGCAAGCACAAGGCCCUGGGUUCGGUCCCAGCUCU